Molecule: long non-coding RNA, 44086 nt
Filed under: Ananas comosus (pineapple)
Lineage: Eukaryota; Viridiplantae; Streptophyta; Magnoliopsida; Poales; Bromeliaceae
Description: long non-coding RNA (ACOM_LNC010128)
Source: RNAcentral
ACACACGCAUGGAAUAGAAAGGAGAAAGCUCACUUUCUCUCUCUAAAUUUCUCCCAAAAUAGAGGGAAUUGAUGGAGAUUAAAGCUUCAAGGUGGAUUUUCAUCUUCAUCAUCAUCUUCCUCUCCAUUGAAGCUUGCUUGAGAGGUAAGCUUCAAAACCCUUUAAUGGUAGAACUCUAAGGAUUGAUCCUUAUGCUCUAAAAAUGGUUUUAAUAGAAUUCUAGCAUGCUAAAUAGAUGAUUAUUGCUAGAAUCUAGGAUCAAUUUAAUUAAUUCUUGCCUAGUUAUAAACCUAGGGCUCGAAAUGCAAUUUUUGAAAAUAUGAGGGUUUGAUCUCAUUUAACCCUCUGGAAACCUAAUUGAUAGGUCACUGAACGCGUCGGAAGCGACGGUUCGGCGAUUCGUCGAGCCAGUGCGAAGUUAUUAAAGAAACGGACGUUUAGGCUUCGUUUCCGCCUGGAGGGCCGAGGCGACGUCGUAAAAUCCUGGAAACGGAUUUGAAGCAUCGUAAUAGGAAACCGAAGACCUUUAAUUUUCGGAUCGCGGAUCGGAGGUCGUUUGGUUGUCGCGCGCGUGGAUUGGGUCAAGCCGAGCGGCGUGCGCCGCGGGAGGCCGAUUGCGAGUGACGACGAGCAAUCGGAACGCGAUAAAAGGUGGGUGGUGUCCAUCCCGAAUCAAUCGGGCUCCUUUUUAUGUCUAAGUUUUAUAUUGAUCAAAUUGCAUAUUGACAUCUUGCAUUAUAGGGUGAUAAAUGAUGGUUUGGUCCUAUACCUUGCAUGUUCUUUGGUAGAAUAAUGUAUUUGGCUUAGUACUUAUAUCUAACAUGCUUGAGGUUUAUAUAUGUGAUGUGGAACCCUAUAAUGAGAUGAUAAGUGUGGAUGGGAAUUUAAUAAUGCAUUGGCUAUUGCAUUGAAAACUUGUAAAGAACGAGUGGCAUCUAGUUGAUAGUAAACAAAGAACAAAUGACACCUAUGAGUCAUAGUGUAUAUGAAACCUAUGGGCUAUAUGAUGGUUGUAACCCUAGAGGAUAGGGUAUUCUCGAGACGAGGAUUGGAUCAUGCUCACGGUCUGUUUUUAAAUCUUGUGAUGGAAGCCCCACACAAGUAGUGCGCUCCGGAGUUGGUCACGUGGGAUUGCCGAUUUCGGGUCCCAAGGGAUUGCCUAUUUUAGGCCCCGCCAGACGGUCUCGGUUCGUAGUGCGAGUUGACCCUCCCUACCUUCGAGAUGGCUAGUGAGCAGUAGGCUCCUUCAGGGAAGCCACGAGAUUAAGAAACAAGUAAAUGAGAUUGGUGAACGAGUAAAUAACUUUACCUUUGGACAUGAUAAUGGGAUUGUUGUUUAUCCAUUUCAUUGUACAUGCAUUCAUAUAUUUAUGAUUGGGCAUAGUAGCGUAGCUUUACUGCUGUCAUUUACCGCUUUCCUUAUCUAUCUAUCUAUCGAUUAUCUACUUGUGCCCAACUUGGACCUAGUGGGGAGAUCGGCGGAGUCGGCGGCCGAACCCACUGGGAACUAAGGAAGUUAGUUCUCACCCCCAUUUUACUACAGGGCCGAGCGCGAGUUCACACGGCGAGGAUCGCGGUAAGGGCCUAGCGCCCUAGUUGCAUUAGUUUACUUUCCUAUUUCUGCAUUAGAGUUACCUUUAUAUACAUUGAGAGUAGAUGAUGUAUAGGAUGUGAGAUAUUCUGGAAUGAAUGUAAGCUAAUGUUUGUAAUUUGGAAGAUGUAAGCUUUAUAUUAUGUUUAGAAGCUUAAUGCAUAAUCAAGUUGUAUUAUAAAGGCUGAAUGAAUGUAAUAGAUAGAUGUUUCUCUCUUUAUCAUUACUUGUAUGUUCUAUACUUGUAUCUUGCUCUUAGUUGUUUAGCACUGAUUGUGCUCCCCUCGUAGUUGUUAAGUGAUCAUGUAUGUAUUCAAGUGAUUUCCUGGGAACUUGUUGUACAUGAUCUGUUGGUUAGCCUUGGGCGGACAGGGGAGGUUCUGUCCGUUCGGCGUCUGUUUGACGCGCCCGGGCCGGACCAAAUUGGUAGCGGUCUCGGGGCGUGACACAGAACCUAGCUAAAUCUUGUGGCCCGUACAUGCAGUUUUUUCUCCCUUUUAACUUGGGAUACAUAGAACAUACCAAAGAAUACAGUUUGACCCAAGCUGGCUCUCAGUAUUUGUUAGAGAUACAUAACCAACUUGCUCAUCAUUCAAAUCACUAGCAGAUUAAUGGUAACAUAUCUGAGUCAAAUUAUUAUUUAAUGAAGGUAGUUCCAUACUUCCAUCCUUUCAUAAAUAUAAUAACUGAUUAAAGAAAGCAAACAAGUAAGGAUGCAUCAGGACCCAUAGCACCUCAAGAAUUACAGCCUUAUAGUAAAGUUCCCACCAUCGGCUAGACUCCACAAAAAGUACAAGUUAUUAUUGUAAAAAGGUCUAACCUAUUGAAACACACAUCCCAAGCUAAACAAUUAGUAGAUAUUCCACACGUAAAACUGUAAAUUUCAGCACAAACAUAACCUUGAAAUCUCUGGAAAUAUAUAAGAAAUGCUAUCGAAUAUAGGUUAGUUCGUGAGUAUUUUGAAAAGAUAGAUUGCAACCUUUAUUGUAGGGAACAAAAAUAACUCAUGAAGCAAACUCCAUAUACAUCAUAGAUGACCAGAAGGACGUACAUAGUGGGAAAAUUCAAAAAUAAAAAUCACCUAGAAGCCUAUUUUAGAUCUUCUGGAACAAUAAAUCUACGCAAAUCAAUAAAUAGGAAAAAAAGCAUACAAGAAAAAGCAGCUGCACGAUUUAGAAUUUACAUAAAGUUGCAUAAAAAUCCUUUCUUCUAGAAAUAAAUUCUUCCAUUCCAAAAGCUGAAUCCACACAAAUUAGUAUCAGUUUAAAAUAAUCAUUAAGAAACAGUAACAUUACCUGAUAAAGAACUAUUGCAAGGACUCUUGAAAAACGUUCAAUCUGAAUAAGCAACAUUCCAGCCUUUUCUGUUACGUUAUCAAUAAGCUUUUCCUCCAGUCCCAUACUCUGAAACCGUGCACGCCAUCUUGAAAGGCCUCUUAACUCUCCAAUUCGGAACCCAGCAAUUUCUACAGCAGGCUACACAAUAAAGAGCCAGAAGAUGAUUGAUCAAGCCACUUGUAUUUAUGAUCUCAACAACAUAUAACUAACACAGCAAGGUGAAAUUUAAACUAAUUAAAAUAACAAGUAUCCAUGACAAUCACAUAUAGAUUCAAACAAAUGACAAGGCAGCACAUGUCAGAAAGUGCAAGAAGAAAAGUUAAGAUAUUGUUGUCAUGUUAGUCGACGUUUACUUGCCUAUAGACAGAAGGAAAAGGAAGAUAAUGUAGCCAUGUUACUUUGUAACAUUUUGUCCUUUUUAAGAAAAGAAAGGUCAACCAAAAAAGAGAAGCAAAAUGAAGCCGUGUUACUUUGUAACAUUUUGUCCUUUUUAAGAAAAGAAAGGUCAACCAAAAAAGAGAAGCAAAAUGAACACAAAAUUAUUUUAAAUGAGUAUUGGAGCCCAUAGGCCAUGGCUACUAUACUAUUAUGAGUAUUGGAGCCCUCAUACUCAUAAGUUGUUUUCACUGAUGGAGCUUCCGAAUCGACGAUCCACUCCGUUAAAUAUGAUCUAGAGUAUUUGAAACUUCUAGAAAAUAAAUUUCGUAAAUUUUCAAAAUCAUAAUAAAGUCCAUCAAGUGGGCAUAAAAUGAACGGUCAAAAUCGAACGACGUCCUAAAAAAGAAUGAUCGGAUCCUUCAAUUCAAGAUCGGAGUUAUUGAUCUUUAUCUAUGUAGUGAAUAAAAUUUUUUAUCAAAAAUUCAACAAAUUCCGAUUCUUUUACACUGUUAAACUAGCAAGUAUCCCAUACCGGCCAGUUUAAAAAUUGUCAAAUUGUGACUCUUGACCGUAAGGUAAUGAUGUCGAAAAAUUAUAAAUUUGAUUUCUAGAAGUUUAAAUGCUGUAAAUACGUUUAACGUGUGGAUCGUCGAUUCGGAAGCUCUAUCAUCGAAAACAACUUAUGAGUACGAGGGCGAUCGUACUCAUAAUAGUAUAGUAGUCAGACCCAUAGGCCAUGGCUACUAUACUAUUAUGAGUGUUGGAGCGCCUCGUACUCAUAAGUUGUUUUCAAUGAUGGAGCUUCCGAAUCGACGAUCCACUCCGUUAAAUAUGAUCUAGAGUAUUGAAACUUCUAGAAAAUAAAUUUCGUAAUUUUCGAAAUCAUAAUAAAGUCCAUCAAGUGGGCAUAAAUGAACGCGUCAAAAUCGAACAACGUCCUAAAAAAGAAUGAUCGGAUCCUUCAAUUCAAGAUCGGAGUUAUUGAUCUUUAUCUAUGUAGUGAAUAGAAUUUUUUAUCAAAAAUUCAACAAAUUCUGAUUCUUUUACACCAUUAAACUAGCAAGUAUCCCAUACGGCCGUUAAAAAUUGUCAAAUUUGUGACCUCUUGAUCGUAAGGUAAAUGAUGUCGAAAAAUUAUAAAAUUUGAUUUCUAGAAGUUUUAAUGCCUGUAAAUAAGUUUAACGGUAUGGAUCGUCGAUUCGGGAAGUCUAUCAUUCGAAACAACUUAUGAGUACGAGGGCGAUCUACUCAUAACAGUAUAGUAGCCGGACCCUAUUAUAUAUAUAUAUAUUAUAUAAUAUAGAGAGAAGAGAGGAGAGAGAGAAGAGUUCGGCUACUAUCCUAUUAAUAGGAUUGGGACCAUUGUCCUAUCAAAUGUUUUGAACAAUCGACACUCCAAAUUGAUAAUCGGCACCGUUGAAAUUGAUCUACACUAUAAGAAAUAUUUAAAAAACCGAAUUUUGUAAUUUUUGAAAAUCAUUAUCAAGUCUAUCGAAGAGUCGAUAAAAUGAAACGGUCAUUAAUGAAUAACCUUCUUAAAACAGAGGUUAGACUUUCUCAAAUCAUGAUCAGAGUUAUCAAAUAUUAUCUAAAUAGUAUAAAGAUUUUCUAUCAAAAAUUCAAGCAAUUUGGUUACUCUACACCGUUAAACAAGCAAAACGCUCAUAUAGGCGUCAAAAAUUGUCGAUUUUACGACACUUUGAUCACCAUGUAAAUAAUUUUUAAAAUUUAUGAAAUUUAGUUUCUAGAUAUUUCAAAUACUCUAGAUCAACUUCAACGGCUCCGAUCAUCGAUUCGAAUCUCUAUCAUCAAAACAAUUUGAUAGACAAGUGCUACUUCCUAUUAAUAGGAUAGUUAGCCCUAGGCUAUAAUAUAUAUAUAUAUAUAUAUAUAUAUAUAUAUAUAUAUAUAUAUAUAUAUAUAUAUCAUGAUUCACCUACCUCUAGCAAGGUUUAAGGUGCCGCUCCGUGCCGUAUGUACCGUGCCACCAAAAAGGUGGCACGAUACAGGGGGGGUCUCGGACCCCCCUCCGUACCGCAGCACGGACCUGCGUAUCGCGCGAGACAGAGAGCGAUACGCAGGUCCGUGCCACAGCACUGUGUCGUGCCGGCACACUUUUUUUUUUUCUUUUUUCUUUUUUUUCUUUUUGUUUUGUUCUAUAGGAUACCACGAAGCAUUCCACACCCCCAAGGACAUUGCAAAUUGAAGAUCUACUUGGUAGUUAAAUCAAAAAAAUUAUAUUUUAAUUUUUUUGCUUAUUAAUAUACGGGCAAAUUUUUAAUUUACAUAUCUGAUCUAUACCGUAGGAGGCGAAGUCCCCUACACCCUCCUUAUCAGCCUGAGCCCUCCGUGCCCACCAUAAACAUCUAUUUUUUUCAUAAAUUAUUUUACCAAAAUUUGUCGCACCGCGAAAUUUUUGGCGAAUAAAGGAAACAAAAUCAAACUCAAUAAACAAAUUUUGAGGCAAAUCAAACAUAAAAAUUUAUUUUUGUGUUAGAAGAUUAAAAAUACUUAUAAAAUUAAAAGCUAAAUUAAAUCAAUUGAUACUUAAAUUUAUUUAAUUUAUUUGUCAUAUAAUUUAUUGCUUAAUUUUUUUGAUAGAUCUCAUAAUUUAUUAAAACAUUAAUUAAAAAUUAAUCUUUUCAAAUAUUUUUAAAAUAAUUUUUUCAAAUAAUUUUUAAAAUUUAUUUUUAAAAUUAUUUUUUUGCAUUUUAUAAAAGAAAAACUAUGAUAUGGCGAAAAGAAAAAAAGAAAGAAAGAUGUCUUUACAUUUUUAAAAUUCUAACCUGUAAAAAUUUUUAUUUUGCAUCAGAUGUAGUUGUAUUUUACAUACAAAAAAAGCUUACAAGUAUUUUAAUUAAUGAGUAUAGUAAAUUAUAUAUAGCAAAUAUUCAUAAUUAUUUGAUUAAAUCUUUCAAAAUAACAUUAUAAAAACUUAUUAGAACCAUAAAAACUAAAAUAAAUCCGUGCCAAAACAUGCCAAUAGGAGGUCAUACAUAUCCAUCGACACGCAAGCGUAUCAUAUGUCGGCACGGAAGCAUGCCGGUGCAGUACCGUGCCAGGCAAACAGCGACACGCCCCCGUACCACAGCACUUUAAACCUUGAUCUCUAGAGCAUCGGCUGCUCCUCGACUGCUAAUCCAGCUGACUAAAGAACUUAAUAAUAGAAUUUAGGCAUGCAUAACUUUUUAAAUGAGAUGUCAAUGCUAGCAGAGUCUGGUUAUUUCAAACAGGUGCAGCUUAAUUAAGUGACUAAAAAUGCAAAAUUUUACUUCCAAAUACACAAUUAAGAAAAUUACAUCUCCGCAAGCGCCAAAGAAGAUGCAAAUAAUUCCACUCUUUAUUGGUUGUUCAGCUUUUCCUACAUUUUGUUUGAUUCGGCAACAAGGAACAAGCAGAUCAGAUUAUUAGGUAAUUAUGCCUCAUAAUUUCCACAGACAAUCAUGGCAGGUAGUAGUUCAUCCCUAUACUUGGUGUACUUUAUAUGCUUCAAUUCAAAAACCGCGGCAAAAGCCAAGAUCGCUAUAUGUUCUGCUGUGACUAAAAUGAGCAUGUAGGAACAGCAACAAACCUCAUGAUAUACCAAAACCAGUUACUAACAUCAGGGUUGUUCGUACAUGUACGUACCUGAAGAUGUUCAUUCAGAACAACACGAAGUUCUUUUCCAGCAUUGUCAACAGCCCUGGAAACACGCUUCAGACCCUAUCAAAGUAACAAAAACAUGUAUAACACAUAAUUUUUGUAGAAAAUAUAUAGCGUUGGUUAAGGCUGACGAUACCGCUUCACCAAGUGAACUGACUAAAAACUGGUGAAGUGCCGGACUAGUGCGCGCCCCAAAUAAAAGACUUAGAAACUCAUCCUGAGGACUGGAAUCUAGCCCUACAGAAAUAUUUACAAAAAAUGACAAAUAAAGACAAUAAACACACUGCCCGCUAACUGUAACCAAGAUGGGAUCGGUCGAUACCAUGGUCAACAAUCAGAGCAGAUAAAGAACCAAAUUUCUCAUGGAAUAAAUUCAUCGCGUCAGACCAUUGCUUGGACAUUACAGAUAUUGAAGUCCGGACAACUUCAAUUAAAUCCUCAAUACUUGACGCCUGCUGGGCCACCUGAUGUAGCUCAUUUUUCCUGUAACAAGUAGCUAGCUUAAUUACAACACAGCAUAUAGAUAAAGUAUAAAAACAUAUUCGCUAGGCUGUAUUUACUAAAUUAAACAAAACAGUGACUUGAAAGAUGGAAAAAUGGAUGAGUUCUAGCCAGCUAUUUAAACAUCCGAUUGAGGUGAUCGGAGGAAAACCAGAUAAUCAGUAUGGAGAAAACUACUGGUCUAAUUCUUUAAAAAACUACUGGUCCAUUUCUUUAACAACAAAGCCAUAGUAGAUCAAAGAUUAAGAGCUAAAACAUCCAAUAGCCAAAAAAAAAAAAUGACUCCAAAAAUUUUAAAAGUAGACAAACAGUACUUUCCAAAGAUAACCAUAAUAGAAGCAAAAGGUAAGAAGAUAAGGGAUAAUUGGUGGAUUAGAUAUUACAACAUACAAACAAGAAAAUGAAUGCUGAACUGUGAAACAUAUACUUUUUCAAUUACAUCACAAAUUGAAAAACUUACAGUCAAUGGACUGCACUGUAUGAGGUAACAAGUAAACUCCCAAAACUAAUUAUCAUAUGAUUAUGUCGGUGGCUGCCUAUCACCACAAUUAUCUCUACGAAUUCUCUUCAAGAUUAGGGAAAGCGGUCAACAUAGUAGGUGAUGUUCUCUUAUGACAGAGUACAAAUUCUGAGCCACUUCGUUUCUGGUGAUUCAGAGAAUGAUUGGUUAUAACAUAUCGUGAAAUUUUCUUAUAAUACACCGGCAAGACUUCCAACUGAAAUCAGUGAAUGUCACAAAGUCAUAAAGAUACUCCUUGAUAUCCAUGUAAAUAUCAUCAAUAAAAGAAAUGUAUAUCAUAUGGUUAAAACCAAGGAUUAAAGUGCCCAUUAGCAGUUUGGCACGGGCCGUAUCCACCGUGCCGUAUCGUGCCAGCAAGAUAUCGAUACGAUACAGCCCCCGUGCCAAUGGCACAACUCAAAACCCUCUAUUCUUAAAAUUAUUAAGUAAUUUUCUCAAUAAAGUUCAAAAGAUUUGAACUUUAUACAUAAUAAAUAAUUGGCAUAUUUUGUUGUUAAAGAAAAUAAAUAUUUCAUGCCAUUACAUGUCAACACACAUAUUUUUUUGUGACCGACACCUAUCAGCACGGCCCGGCACACACCAUGUCGUAUCGUGCCGGCAAGUUUCAGACACAACCCCGUGCCACGACACUUAAAUCCUUGGUUAAAACAUAUCAUAAAAUUUUCUAAUUAUGCAACAGCCAGCCUUCCAACUGAUAUUAGUGAAACCACAAAACCCUCCUGACAUUCCAUGAUAUCCAUGCAAAGAUCAUUAGUCGCAAAUGUGAGGAAAAUUUCUCUUACCUGCUUUGAAAUAUUGAUGUGUCCAGGAGUACACAGUGUAAGCCAACGGAAAGAUCAUCACAGCAAGAAGAUUUGCCAAAUUCAACCAACUCUCCAAAGCUGAGUACUACCAAUUGGCAGAGAUUUUUUGAUAAAGAUACCUGGUGAAAAAAAAAAAAAAAGGGAACAGCAUGGUCAACUAUCUAAAAAUUUACUCAGUAAAUGCCAGGAAAAACAAGAAAAAGCGAGGUGCUAACUAGAAAUUUACCCAAUAGAAUGUGAAACCCAACAAUUAGAAGGCCUGAUGACUCAUAUAUAAAUUUAAAGCUAGUUCAAUGUAUCAUUUCAAUUGCAACCACAAUGCUAUGUUAGCUAUAUGAUGACUACAAAAUGUUUAUCCCAUCUGCAAAUAAAGAGCUUUAGAGCUUAAAACUCGUUUAACAAGACCUACUAGCAUUUUAGAACCAAUUCUCAGCCCAAACCAUUGAACUGUACCAGGUGGAGAAACCUCUCUUAUAAUUUAGAUUAAGUGUAACGACCCAACCCACUAGCAACAAUAACUAGUUAGGCCCAACCACCGGCCAAAUAUGUUUAAGCCCAGUUAUUAUUACUAGCGUGUAGGCCUUAUAUAAACUGAUCGGAAUCAGUAUCCCAUCCGAUGUGAGACUAUUGGGGGAGUUUGUAAUAACAAACUCCCCCUGUUUAGACCCUGACGUCCUCGUCAGGUCCAAACCCAGACUGACAGACAAAGCAGGACCAGAAUUACCAUGCUCCUACGGGUUCAAGAGGUGGCUCCCACCAAACUCGUUGGUGCAGCACUUUGCCCUGCAUAGCACUUAACUCUCACACUUCCGGCUAGUAUUCGGCUCUGAUACUAAAUGCAACGACCCGACCCGCUAGCAAUAAUAAUUCGUUGGGCCCAACCACCGGCCCAAAAUGCUUAAGCCCAGUUAUUAUGUCUAGCCCAAUCGAGCUUAUAUACUCCCAUAUCUAGUCAUAACUACCCGAUGUGGGACUAUUGGUGUCACGCCCCGAAACAGCUACCAAUUUGAUCCGGUUCGGGCGCGUCGAACAGACGCCGAACGGACAGCACCUCCCCUGUCUGCCCAAGGCUGCUAACUAACUCAGGGCGCUAUGCCCUUACCGCGGUCCUCGCCCGGCGUACUGGUACUAGGCCCUGCAACAAAGUGGGGUGAGAACUAUAUAAAUAUAGUUUCCAGUGGGUUCGGCCGCCGACUCCGGGUCUAAGCAGGCAUAAGCAGAUAGAUAGAUAGGUAGAAAUGUAAGCUGCAACUAUUCUACCAUGCCUGCAAUGUGAUGCCAUGUAUGAAAUAAUCAUCAUGCAACAGUGUACUAUCAUGCUAGUAUGAUGUCAAGAGUAUAUAUAUGUAACAUAGCAAUGCAAUCUACAACAUACACUAUGUUUACUUAAGGUAAGAAUGCAAUUCUACUAUGCUAUUCAUGUUCAUUACCCAAUUUACCUGGCUGACCCGUAGGUUAAGCCCUCAACUCACUUUCAAUCUCAUUGGUGAGGAGAAGCUGCACUCGCACACCGAGACCGUCUGCGGGACAACUACGUCUACCCCUGUGUGAAGUACUCCGGAGACCACUGCUUUGGUGGAGCGACCACCGACAAGCGAAACAGACUAGUGAGUAUGAUCCAAUCCUCACAAGAGGAUACCCUAUCUACUAGGGUCAUAGUGCCUCUGCUGCACAAUCACAAUGCAUAAUCAAAUGCCGGGACUUCUACCAUCCCUAAGUUCAUGUCAUAUUUACUACACUAGACUCGAUGCCACUCGUUCGAUCAUUUGUAGUAAGUUUUCUAACUAGUUGACAUGCCACUCGUUCAUGUUUAGUGUUUCUACUACACUAGUUCAAUGCCACUCAUCUAGGCUAUACAUGUCUAAGUUCAUCUCAUUGUGCCACUAUAGGAUUCCAUGUCACAAGACCCAAUCCUCAUGCGUCCCUAGUCCAUGUGUCAAGCCCUCGAUGCUACACUACUAAGAAAGCAUGCAAGAAAUUAGAAUUGCAACUAUCUACUAUCCUAUAAUGCAUAAUAUCCAUAUAUGAUCAAUAUAAAGAACUUAGACAUAAAAAGAAGCUCGGUUGCUUCGGGAUGGACACCCCCCACCUUUUGGUGAUGUCUUGAAGCUACGAAUCCGUUUCUGAGAUUUUAGAAAGCUUACGCCGCAAGCUGCGGCAAUCUGUACCUCUACGGCUUAUUUCCUCAAUAUCUUCACGUACGCUCGUCGUUUCGCCGAACCGAGCACACCAACGCGUCAGAAUACCUACCAAUUAGGUUAGAGAAAGGUCAAUCAAGAUCAAAACCCUCCAUGAACAAAAGCCUUUUUUUGGAUGCCCUAGAAGCCCCAAUAUUGCAAUAGCUCUAUUCUAACAUUUAUUCUUGCAAUUAGUGAGUUCCAUUACUUCUAGAGGUCUAUUAAAGUCCAUCUAGCUAGGUUCUAAGAGAUCAAAGCAAACCCUAAGCUACUUGCCAUGAGAGAGGGUUGAAGCUUACCUCUACUAGCUAGACCAAAGAGAGGAAGAAGAGGUGAGGAAGAUGGUAGCUCUCCUCCUGAUCUCUUUCUCCUCCUCCUUCUUCUUCUUCUUCUUCUCCUCCUCCUCCUCCUCCUCCUAGAGAGAGAAAGAGAGGUGUGUGUGUAUGGGAGUGUUGGAGAGAAUGAGAAAAAAAGAGAGGGGAAAUGCCCACUUAACCCCUCUCAUGCUACAAUAGCAUAUAAGCCCCUCCACUUUGCCUCUUGUGCACUGCCCAGACUGGGCAGAUUUCGCAUGCGGGGACCAGUCCCUCUACAGGAGGACCGGUCCCCGAGAGCAGCCUCACAUGCAGAGCCCUCUGUCAGCCUCUCCACGCGCACAGGGACCGUUCCCUUGCUGAGAGACCGGUCCUCGAGGGUCCGGUCCCCUGCCAAGAGACCGGUCCCCGAGAGCACAAUUCUGCGCAGAGGCCUCCUGCCUCUUCUCCACGCGUACGGAGACCGGUCUCUCCCGCCAGGGACCGAUCCCCAAGAGCAAAAAAUGGCAGGGCAGCCUUUUGCUGCCCUCCAUACCUACGGGGUCCAGUCCCUCACCACAGGGACCGGUCCCCGAGAGCUAAAAACUGCAGUCUUGCAGAUUUUCUCCCAGCUUGCUCUCGUGACCCCUCCUCAAUGCACUCUUCGUAUUUCCGACAUCUUCAGCCUUUCCGAAGCGUAUUAACACGACCCAUGGUCGAUUUUAAACGAAGUCCAACUCUCGUAUUUCGAGAAUUCACUUCCUUACAAUUGGGGCGUCACAAACUCCCCCCGUUUAGGCCCUGACGUCCUCGUCAGCCCUAAACAUACACACAGCCCAAAAUAUACACACAGCCCAAAAUCACGAGGUGAUGUGAGACUUGUCUCGCUGACCUUUGUUAUUUCGACCCUGACUUAGCCUAUCAAUCACCGACCCUAGCUUAAUCUGUCAUUCCGACCCUGGCUCAACCAAUACUCAUCUCACAUUUCCGACUGGUGAACUGGCUCUGAUACCAAAUGUAAUGACCCAAUCCGCUAGCAACAAUAACUCGUUAGGCCCAAACCACCGGCCUAAAAUGCUUAAGCCAAGUUAUUAUUAUUAGUGUGUCCAUUACUUAUAAACACAUCAAACUCUCCCAUAUUAUCCGAUGUGGGACUAUUGGGAUAUUACAUUAAGUUCAUGAUAUCAGGGGGCAGUCUUAUCAGGAAUAUUAACACAAAUAACCGCUUUUGUGCCAAUGAAAUGAAACAUAUAUGUAUAUAGAAGAACUUCUAAAUAGGACGGGAAUAAGCAAUGAAAAAUAUAUUUACUGACAGCGAAACAUAUAAGUAAAAGCGAGAAGGUCAUUCAACUGUCUCUAAGUCAGUAUUCAACCUGCACACAAGGAUUAAGCUUGUAAAAGGAAGAUGAGAGAAAACUAGCAUAUUAUGCCUAGUAAUAGAUUCAGAUUUCAGAUAUAAUGACUUCCAAACUUCUCAUUGAAGAAUUACACACAAUGGCAUGCUUGAGUUUUUCAAACUGUUAUUAGCAUGAAUUAAGCUACAUUGGCUUUUCUUAUUAGAAAUGAUUAGAAGGAUAAAAGCUUUGAGAAUAUCAAUUGACUCAAGUGUCUAUAGAAAAGUAGAAAACGAGUUUGGUUUUGUCGUAUAAGCAAGUACAUUUUUGGGGCAUAAGAAGCCUCAAUGCAACUAACUCCAUCUUUUCAACAGUACUAACACUUUUUAAUGUACUACCAAAGUGUACGUGCAACGCACGUAAGAUAUUUAAAAAUAAAUAGUAUAAUAUUUUUUAAAAUAAUUCAGAUCAAAGGUGAUGCUUAUAUAAUCAACAAUUUCUAAAAAGAUCAUUAAUGAAUAUUCAUGAUUUUUAAAACUUUAUUAUAGUUGUAUAAAAAUAGUGAAAAUUUUCUUGAUCUAAGGUCGCUGAAGAGAGAGGAUUUAAUAAUCCUUUUAAGAAAAGAUGUAAGGACCUAAUGUUAUUUUCUAUUUUAAAAUAGAAUAAAUAGAGGUUUCCAGAAAACAGAAGAGGAUUUUCAUCCGUUCCUGAAAAGAUGUGACGGUAUAUUUAAUUUUUUAUUAAUUUAAAAAAUUAAAUAAAUUGGAGGGAUAUUAUUUAUUUAAUACAUAUUUCUAAUAGAUUAAUUUGAAUGAUUGGAUAUAAUCUAAUGAAUGAUAGGUGAAAUAUAUAUCAAUUUAUACACACAAAUUGAUCCAAGCAACAUUUACAAUCAAACAAUAUACAAAAAUUAUUAAUCAAUAAAAUCUUCUUUAUGAAUUAGCCCCCUAAACUUUUUUUGAUUGAGACAUGCUAACUAUUAAUUUUAGCCAAAUAAAUAAAAGUUAAACCAAAAUUUUUAAAUCCUAAAUAUAAAAUUCCAAAAAAUCGAUUAAUAAAAUACUCUAUAGCAAAAAAAAUGUAUUAAAUAACUAAACAAAAGUUGGAAAGAUAUCAAUUAAAAAAUAAAUUAAUAAAACUUGGGGAAUCUAUUUGAAAAUUGCCUAUAAUUGACACGAUAUCUCCAUAUCUUUCCCUCCCCCAUCCUUUCUCUCUGCACCAACGUGUCGUGCAACUAUUUUUGAAAAACGUGUGGUAUAAGUAGUUAUAAACAUAUUUUAAAAGAAAAAAUAAUAAGAAGGGUAACUUAGUCUAGAAAAAUGACAAAUACUUUUUGUUUCAUUCAAUGGAUAAGAUCUGACGGUUUAAAAUUAUUAUAGGAUACUAUUAUCUAAAACAAAUAAAAAUAUCUAAUGACUAUAAGAUAUUUACUAGAAAACGAAUCGUUGGAUAUUGCUAGGAAGUAAUUGACAUUACAUUAUAGCCAAGGGAAAUUUUGGAAAAAAAAAGAAUCAAACUCCCUCUUUUAUUAGUAUUUAUUAUAUUAUGAAUUGGGAACCCACCAAAGCCUCCCCGCGUUUGGCAGGGAGCUUUGGUCCCUCUCUCUUGCAUUUUUUUUAUUUUUCCUCUCUCAACAUUUUUUUUUAUUUUUUCCUACAACAAAUUUUUUUUACUUUUACUAUAGAUAACAAAAUUAAAAUUUUAUCUAAUUUGGAACUUAAAGAAGGCCUUCCGUUAUUAUGGGAUUGUGGGGUCCACAAAUUUUGUUGAGAUUUUUUUAGGAUUAAUUGCAUAGUGCUGCCCAAACUUUCCACCAUUUUAUUUUGGUUCAUAUUUUUUUUUUACAAUAAAGUUUUCAAACCUCUUAAUUUCAUCAUGAUAAAAUAGCAACCGUUAAAAAUAUUUUAUAAUUAUCGAAAUUAUCAUGUCAUCGCCUAUUUAAUCUUUUUUUUCAUACCAAUUGUGAUCCCUAAAUUUUAUAUGCUUUUCACUUUAGUCCGCAAAACAUAUAUGAAUUGGUAAUCCUAAAGAAGGCCUCUCCUUAUUUUGAAGGUUUGUGGGGCCCACACAAUUUUUUAAAGAAUUAUUCAUACCAAUUUUGAUAUAAAUAAUGUGAAACUUCAAAUAAAUGUCUUUAUGCAUGCGCAGCUUAGCUAUAUAUUAUUAGUAUAUUACCCGCAACUUAGGUAUACACAAUUUUUUUUGACAAAAAUAAAAUUAUCUAAAAUUUCAAGUGGAGAAUUUCUUAUCCUUCAAUUUAUGUAUGUUAUCUCAUGUAUAACAUCCUUCAAUUUCUUAUCCUUUGGUGGGUCCCUUUUUUUUUUUCCCUCUUUCUCUCUCUCUCACUUUCUUUUUUUUUCCCUCUCUCUCACUUUCUCUCACACAUCCUACAUCUUUUUUUUUCUCUCAAUAUUUUUUUUUUUAUGCUUUAAAUAUUUUUCGAAAGAAAUAUACUUUAAUUUCAUUCUUUAAUUUUAUUCUUUAAUUUUAAAUUAUUCAAUACUGGGACAAAUAAUAUUGAAAAAUAUUAAUACAUAAUGGAAAAAAAUUGAUAUUAAUAGUUAUAAUAAUUUACUGUUAUAUUGUCUUUUCGUUGCAUCGCGCCCGCCGCAUUGCGCGGGGCGCUUAACUAGUAGAUAUAGAUUUGCACUCAAAACCUCUUGUUUUCUACCAUUAUAUAGUGGUUUGGAUAUGAAUUUUUAGUUCUCAAACAAAUUCAAACUCAAUUUUUUUAAAGGGUUAAUUGCAUACAGCUCCCUGUAAACAUAGCGAAUUGCAAAUAUAUCCCUACAAAGUUCAACUUUCUUAUGUUAUCUCUGCAAAAGUCAAGCAAUAUUCAUAUUUGUCUUCUGGUUUGUUAUCGUUAGAGAACUGUUUAUUUUUUGACAGCAGACAAGUGAAAUGCCAAUUUUUGUCAUCACAAAUAUAUCCCUCCAAAAGUCCCAACUACUAUAAUUGUGCAGAAAUGUCCCCCAAAAAAAUUUUCAAUGGUCAUCUUCUUUCUUAUCUUCUUCCUCUUUAAAACCCACCCAAUCCACCAUUGUUGCAAUCUCUUACUCUUUUCUCCUAAACCUUUUCUUUUGAGCAAAAUAAGAAAAAAUUAUAGAGGAAAUUGAGUGGGAAAGCAACACGCGUUCAACAUGGGCAAAACAACAGGUGUCGUGGAUGUAUGGGGAUAGAGAAAUUCUAGUUACAGGUUCCAAACUAGCAUGAAGAAGAGAAAGGAAGAGGAAGAGGAAGAAGAAGAAAAGUUUCCAUUGCUAGGAUUUUAAUUGAGAAGAAGGUAUAAUAUAAGAGAGUUAAAAAUGUCAAUUUACCUCGUUGACUAACCAAGGUUAAGUAUUUUACCUAUGGUUAACUAAAUUUUUUUAACAGAUCCUAAUGACAGGGGCAUAUUUGAAAACAUUAAGACUUUUGCAGGGAUAAUAUAAGAAAGUUGAACUUUGUAGGGAACUAGGGAUAUAUUUGCAAUUCGCUAUGUUUACAGGGAGCUGUAUGCAAUUAACCCUUUUUUAAACGUUUCAAAUACUAUCAACUUGUUUGUGCUUGACAAACGAUGCUAGACAUAUUCGAAUACAAAAUAAAACUGUGACGCCCCAACUUUCCAGGUGGUCACCCAUCUUAGGAAUACUCCUGUCCUAACACGCGUAACUCUCUUAACCUCUUGAGCCUAGCCACCGCCCAAAAUGCUCAAUCCGGGUUAAGAGUUUUAGCCCUAUUAUAUCUUAUAUAUAGAACUAUCUGCGGUCUCACAAAAACGAAGAUAGUCUAGGAUGCAUGCUAAUGAGACCAAAUUAGUAUCUAACAACACUUGCCCCAGGCAAGACAUUUAAUAGUGCUUCAGGCAUAACAAAUAUUACAAAAGUAAAAUCAGGUAAGUAGCUUGAAGUUUGAUCUUGUGGUAUGUGGUUUGCAUAAAGAACAAAAAGGCAUUUCGAUAGAGAACAAUACAGAUACCUUGUUUAUAGAAGCAUUCAGCAAUUGAUAGGUUGUUUCCUUUCUUGAGAAUUUAGUACAAAGGUGAAGCUGCUGAAUAUUCUGAAAUACAUAUAAUAAAAGUUCAGCGUCUGUCCAAUACAAGUGCAUAUCAUGCUGAUAAAGAAACUAACAUAUUUAGCAGGAAAAAAAUGAUAUGAAGAUAUAGUGAAUACAAAACAAAAAUUCAACAGCGUACAUUUGCAUAAAUACACCUUUGUAGUUUACCUUAUAACUUUACAACAUAAAAGGUUCGGAUAUAAAUUGUAUAAUCAUAAAAAAUGCUACAAUAUAGCUAAGUGCAGUGGCUUUCUAGAGCAUUGUUAUAUCAUAAAAUGAAAGAAAUACAACACAACAAAGAGAUAUAAGUUAAUCUCAAAAGUAGUAGCUUCUAAAGAAUUGAGUACCGGGCACAUAGUUAGGGUCAUAUAAUUUACAAUCAAACUUCUUUGUAGUCAGAACGAAGUUAAGUAAGUCUCAAACAACAAUCCGCUCUCAAGACUGUAAUAUGGUUUCUCAACGUCCAUUAGAACAAAUUUCUCAAUGAAAAUGUCACGAUAUUGUGCGUAUUACUAUCAGAAUAUUUUCAAGUAUCAGAAUAUUGUUACAUUUAAUUUCUAAUUCUCCUAUGAGAAAACCAACGAAAUGCACAUUUUUCAUUAGGAUGCUUAUUCUGCAUUUAUGUAUAAUAAAGCAGCCAUUGUUAACAAUCUGUGAAGCCCUAUGCAGGAGGAUCAAGUGGAUUAUUGAGGAAUGCACAUAGAAGUUUGGGUGUCAAAUCAUACACAAAUGGAAUCUAACAUCUGAAAGAACAUGAAAUUGCGAACAAUUGGGACAUCUCCAAGUCUAAACACUGGAUCUAUCAUUUCUUGCACCAAUAAGCUCACAUAUUAGAACCCUGUACCAAAUUCAAAUUGACCAGCACAGAGCAAUCCAAUCAAAACCUUCAAAAGAAAAUCAUGGAACUUGGCAAAUACACAUAACUUGAUUCCGACAGCUAACAAACAUGUAACAAAGUAUUAUUGUCUCAACAAAGAAAAUCAUUGAAGGUCAAUAACAACAAACAAAAGUAUAAUCUAAAGAAUAGAGCAAUCAAGAGAGAUAUGCAACUACUUCAUAUGCAUAUUACCAACCAUUCUUGCAAAAUGAGCCAUCUAUUAUCUGAUCAAUGAUUUAGCACAUGCCAUGGAAAAAUUAUGUGCCAAAUGAUGGCCUUCAGAAUAGAAUAUUCAAUAUUUGUGUGUACCAUGUGGAACAAAAGGUAAAGAGUCACCAUGCAAAGGCAGCAGCAAUUGUAACAAUUUGAUGGAAAAUAUCUCUUAGAACCUAGCAGGUCAUGAUAAGGUGCAUAAACAUAAAGUCUAUACAUGAAGAAAGUAGAUAAAUUCUAACAUGCAGUAGAAAGCAUUUGUAAAUUACAAAUUUAGAUCAUCUUGAAACUUAAUUGAUUUACUUACAAUCUUCCCUACUGGAAAUAUUCCAAAUAUACUGAAGCAAAUGAAUCCAUUCUUAUCCCCGCUGCAAAGAAUAUUAAAUCGUUGGCACGGAGCACCUGAUAGAUCGUGAAUGGCAUCUUCUGAGUCAUCCAUGAGGUCAGUAUCUCCUGAAACCAAGCCAGGCAUCCUCGGAAUUCUUGGGGCAGGAGGAAAGAAACGCACAGUGCGAUCUUCAUAUGUUAAGAUGUGGUCAUCGUCGCUCGGCUGUCAUAUGACCCAUAAUAUGGGAGAAACAAAAUAAUCUUCGAUAAGCUGAAAGAAAGCAUUAUAGAACUUGAAUAACUUGUUCCAAAGGAUGAGUUUUUUUUUAACUCAAAUACAAGUUAUGCUACAUUAAACAAGGAGACGAUAAAAGCAGAAUUUGAGACAGCAAAGCAUAGAGAGGUGCCUAAGAAGUACAAUAUGACCAGUGAAAAAGUUGCAUGCAGAAUAGCCAAAAUGUUGUCAAAUCCACAAACAGUACAAUACAACCUAAAAACAUGAUUAAAAAAAAAAAAAUCAUCCUGUUCAAGUUGUCAGUCAAGUAGCUGGAAGCUUCUCCUACCAAUGAAGAAUACCCCUUUCUUUUAAGUCUGCAAUAUGCUUCUCUAGUCAAAUGUAAUUUUGAAAAGGGAUCUUCCAAAUUGAAUAAGCUUCUACGGUUGCAAUCCCACCACAUUAUCAAUUGAGAGAAGCAUGUGAAUGAAAUGGAGAUUACACAAAUGAAAUGCAAAUGCUCAAAAUUUGAACUAAAUGAAACACAAGGUUUCCAAAAAUCAAAUAAUAAUUAUAAUAAUGCCAAUCAUUUUUUUUAACAAUCCAAUUGUUUGGGUAUUAUUACCAAUAUGGAUUGUCAUAUUUGAUCUCUAUUUUAUUGGAAGAAAACACGAAAUCAUACCAUUGUUGCCAGUACGUCUUCCUCCCAAUUCAUACAGACAACAGCUGCAUCAUGAGACUUGAUGCUUUUUAAUAACCUCCCGUUCUGCAAUGAUAAACUGUUCUCAAUAUCAGUCUGAUUCCAUUAAUGAAUUGUCAAGUGAGACUAUUAUAGCAAAAUUUUAAAACAAAAACAAAAUGCAAACCAGAAAAAUAUUCAGAUGAGAACAUAGUAGACAAAAAAGUUAACUAUUUAUAUAUUCCACUAUGUAUAGGUUAUUGUGUGUGUCUAGCACAAUACUGCUUCCAUAUUAAAGAUUGAACCAUCGUAAUAAAACUUUAGUUUUUAAAAGUAAUAUCUCUUAGUAAGCGGUAAGCAGGGGUAGUUAGGUAAGAAUAUUUAGCAUGGUAUAAGUUCUUAUGUUAGAUGUCACUACAAUAGCCAGAUUCUCUCUAUUAACUUCUUGGUGCCUAUAUACAAGAUUUAAGAUGGCGACUUCACUCUUUGAACACCACCCAAAAGAAGGGACGAAGGAAAGGUAGAUGCAUAUGCACAACAUACAGACACGUGAAAAGAGAGAAAGAGACUCUGCAGACACAUGCAAACAGAGAGAGUCAGAGACAAUCCUUCACUAGAAAUUGAUUCUAAAUUCAUGCUAAAACAAAUUUGAAAACAGCUAUAUGGAUUGCAAUUUGUUUUAGGUCUCGUUAGGAAUAUGGAUUGCGAUUAGUUUUACGUAAGGAACACAUGUUCGAGAACAUUAGGGGUCUGUUUGGAUGCAUGAAUAUCGUAUUCAGCAUAUUUCUUUUGCUUGCUUAAAGAGGCAUCUGGUAAUUGCUUGAUGGGAACUAUGAAAAAAAUGCCUACAAUCAUGUUGUACACAUGGCCUCCAAGUAAUUAUUCUUGGAAUAUGAUAAAUGGCAUCAUAAGUGGAAUACAUUAUCCUAAAAGAUCAUUUUUUGUAGACCACACAACAGAAUAAAAUCAAAUUCUAAGGUUGCAAUAACAACCAAAAAUCUCCACAUGACACUAGUUACCCCCAGAUACUAACAUCUAAACAGGCCCGAAAUAAAAAUUAAAAUGGCAUGCACAACUAAUAUAACCAAAACCCAGAAUAUAAUAGAAUGAAAACACAUUUCAGUAACCUAAAGAAUCAACAUUGAGAAACAGUUGAAUAUUCUAAGAAAUCUUUUCUGAACACUUUUAAAGAAUGAUGAACAAUUUAUAACAAGGCCAACAUUUGUAAUGCUGAACUUCAGUCAAUGAGCUACUUAAUAAAAUAAUCCAGUUAUACCAUAACACAUAAGCCAAUAUCAAUAGGGAGCUUCCCAUAACAAAAUUUUCAACUCUUUCAUUUUUAUUUGCUUGAGAUACGGACCUCCACAUCAUGUAGAAGAAUUGAACCAUCUUCGAUACCAAGAGCUAUGACUUUACCAUCUGGGCUCCAACAAAGAGACGUAAUACAUUUCCCUAAGCAGAAUAAAAUGUGACAGCAGUAAGCUGAGCAGGAUAUCCAAAUUUACAAACCAAACAAUAAGCCUACACAAGAAGCAAUUAUAGCAGCUAGAUUGCCACUUUUAAGAAAAUGCAAGAGAACUUAAAGAAACAAAUUAUCUGAAUCAUGUAAAUUUUUUAACUUUUGUUUAUCUAAUCACUAGAGUAAAAUAGAAGUUUCUGGUUACUUAUUCUAAAUUAUCAUCAUCUUUGUUGCUAUCAUUAUUCAAUCUAUUCUUGACAACUAAGGGGUUCGGCUAGAGUGCAAAAAUGAGAGGGCCCCACAUUUGCAAUCUUAUACAGCUUCAUUGUUACGAAUUUGUAUGUGUUUACAAGCUGAAAAAUGUUAGAGCCAAUGGACCAAGUUAAGCAUUGACCAAGUCAACCCUAAAGCACGGUGCGAUUCGGCUGUGAAUGUGACCUCGAAUGUUAAAAGAUCUGACUUCUUUGAUUCAAGCGACGGGUUGAGGGGAUCCACUCAACCAGGUUCUAACUUGUUCGAAGUUUCUUAGAACUCUUGAGACUAGAACUUGCAAAAUAUCGGUUGAACGACAAGCCGAACUGACUAGAAUUUCAUUAAUUUUGAAGAGAACUUAGAGAUUACAAAGAAAGAGCAUGAGGGCUCUGAUUACAGUUUAUAAAACUAUGUCUAACCUACAAAUAUUCCUACAAAAACUAUAAAUACAAGGAAUUAAAGUAAAAAAUCAGUGGUCGUGUUUUCGGGAAAGACUUUGUUUGAAUGUAACUUUCCUCUCUUUAUAGAACUCUUCUUAUGUUUGCUUACCUUACGGUUGUUGAACGGCUGCUACCAUAUGGAAUGUGCCUGACCAUUUUCUCUUCUGUUGUACAAUCGUUUCCCACAUCCCUUUGAUUCACAACUACUCCCGCCAAAACCCAUUUGGUUUAGGCUUGUGUUUCUCCCGACUAUAGGAGUACCAUGUGUUACUUUCUCAUUCGACUACGUAAGCCGAGUUUGAUCACCAACUGGCGGAGAAAUUUCAUGUUCCAACAAUGCCCUCCCGAUAGUUUUUCGAGCGAACAUUCGGAUGGCUAUCGAUUCUAGGCCAUGAUGGUUCUAUUGUAUUUUCUUCCACUUUGCCGAACUUUCUUGAACCUAGCUGUUGUUACCCAAUAGAGCACUUACGGACUUACGUUUGGCCAACCCGAGCCUCAUACUUCUGGUCAUUACAAGUACUUCCGAGAUUAUUUUCAAGUUUUUUGCUCUGAAGAUGGUGCUCAUCCAUCAGAACAUUGGACCCUUCUUUGUCACCGAUCAGUCGAUCCUCGGUGGUUAAGGGAAAGCUUCAGGUACAUUCGUCAUCAAAUGAAUUCCCCAAGAGUAAUCUACCAUAAGGAAAUCUGGUAUUCUUUCUUGAACACUUGAGAUGUACACCCUGAAGUGCAAGUCUAAGCCACCGCCUAAUACCAAAGUUUACUCUCCUUACUUUGUCACAAGCGAGCUCGAAUUGAUUUAAGCUCUCCUAGCUCCAGUAAAAUUUUUUACUGAGAACUUUGCUCAAGCUCGCCAGACCCUCAAGAGUUUAGCUGAGGCCAACUGGGUUUCUGCCAUGGGGAAGAAAUUGAGACAAGACUUCGUCCCUGUCGUCUUCCAACCAACAGAAGUUAUGACGAUCGACAAUCUUUAUCGGCAAUCUUGGAGUGACCUGUGCAACAUUCUCUUUGCCUUGACUCUAGAGAACUGUUUGGCCAAAUUCGAUUUCGAAUCUUAAAUCUGAAGGUCUACAAUCUUCUUCGCUUUUUCUUUCAAAACCUUUCAGCCAUUUCAUAUAGCUUAGCUUGUUUCUGCUUUCACUUCGGUCUCAAGCAGGCUCAUCUAAGAAGAAAAGGGAAUAGAAGAAUCUUCUACAUACGAUGUUUCAGAGGAUGACUCUGACAAUUCUUCUCCUCCCCAGCAAUUCUGAAAAUUUCUCUACUAUUCAAUCUUCAUUUUGUUUUUUCAUGUUUUUUAUUUAUUAUUAUUUUACUUGGACCUCUUUAGUCAGCUCCUUCCACCUGACCAAUUCGUAUCUCCCCAUGGCAUGCCGUCAAACAGCAAGCCGAGAAGAUCCUCGUUCAGCUGCAGAAAAGGAGGUCCAGGCCUACGAACUACAAGAGUCGCAGGCCUUGAUUGAUCAGCUUCAAGAAGAAAGCUAAAGAAGAAAGAGAAGGCUUCUCAGAUACAAACCGAUGUAGAGCCACCAAACAACCUAGAAAGAUUUGGCAAUUCCCCAGCAACAAAAGGAAACGGAUAAGAUUCAAAUUAAAUGAGAACUCAAGGGGAAAAAAAAGGAAGAGAUUAGAGCGUUGGGAGUAUAACGAUAAAGAGAGCAUCUUCAAUCUAUGCGUUUGGAUGGUCAUCCACAUAUAGCUCAAAGGCUCAAUAUUAAUGUGCUAUAUCUUAUUUCGCAACAGAUGGCAUGAGAUUUGAAAGCAACUUGUUCCAAAGAGCGUCUUUCUUAUCCAAUGAUUAUCAUGAGGAUCCUUAGGCUACACGACAUGGAUACAAAUUGCAAAACAUAUGAGCACUUGGAACAAUCGACGCUAUCACUAUGACAAAGUCUACGAGUACUUUGAAGACUUCACAAAAGUCUUCAAAAGCAACCUGAACUGCCAUCCAACACUCCUUGUCCUCAACACGAGACUUCUUGUAGUGCACUGAACUUCGACAAAUUGCCGAGUUCUAAUGAAAAGUCUAUUUGAAUAGUUUUAGCGAGGUUUGGAGACUAUUCCAGUGUUUUCGACGCGAAUUAGGUGUGAAACGAACUUCGAGAAGUCAAACUGCUAAAGUUGCAGAUUUUGUAUUGAGUACCGGUACUAAAAAAUGGAGUACCGGAACUCUGUACUGUGGUAAAGAAACCAACAUUCAAAUUUUGAGGAACUCUUCCCGAGUAUCGAUACUGAUACGCUGAGUACCGAUACUGAUGAGGGUAAGUACCGGAAUGCAGUAGAGAAUCCAAAAAUCCAACAUUCGAAUUUUGCGGAACUGGGUGGUUGGUAUCGGAACUAAAGCUCCUGCAUCGGUACUCAAGUUCGAGUACCGAUACUCAACGCUGCGAAAGCGCAGUUUUAACUAGUUGCAAAUAAUUGAAUAUGGGGGACUUAGUUACAAUUUUUGCAACCCAUAUAAAAAAGAGAAACCCUAGCCAUUUCCCCUACUUAGACACAAAGAGAAAACUCUUCUCUUCUCUUCCUCUCACUCUCUUCUCCUCUCCCUCACUCUAGAGAUCUUCCCAACACUUUGAGAUUUGGAGGCAUUGAGCUUGGAGAAGCUUUUGGAGGUGUGGAGCCUUCUUCUUGAGCAAGAAGAAGUAAGAAAGCUUGAGGCUAAGGUGAGUUUGUUUUAGGGUUUUGAGAAGGAUUUGGAUUGAAUCCUUUGUAAGUUGAUUUUUAUCAAACCAUAGGCUAAUCUAGACUACAAAUUGUAGAGCAAUUGAAAUUGGGUUUUGCCACAGUUUUUGAAAAGCCCUAGAUAAAAAGAGGGUUUUUGUUAUUGGAGGUUUAAAAAUUAUUUAACCAUUUGGAACCCUAAUUGAAGGUUAAAGAAACGCGGGGGACAACUUCAUUUCUCGAAAUGAAAGGAUCCUGAUGGUCAAUUGGAGCAACGAACAAAUUUGGGCAAAUUAGCUUGGAGCAGAGCAAGCCUAGUUGCAAGUUUCAAGUAACUAAGAGCGUAUUGAGGUCGGUUGUGUUGCACCAAAGUGAAUAGGUCACUUCCAUGUCUAAUAAGUAGAAAUGCAUGCAUGUGAUAUAUAUGUUAAUUACAGUAACUAAUUAUCAUUGGAUAAGUAAAUGCAUGUAUUGCUAUAUUCCAUACCUAUGUUAUGAACUAGAUGUAGGUUGACAUUCUCUAGGGUCAUUAGAAAACUCAACAUGUGAACACACAAGAACAUAGUGCCAUUGAACAUAGGUUGGAAAACAUAGUGGAUAGGAUGCCUACUUGGAUAUGAUAACAUGGACCUAGUGAUGUUGACAAUGUAGGGUAAACAAUGAACCCUCCGUGAAAUUAUAAAAGCAGCGACUCCGCUACCCAUAGACAUGGGGCCAAACAGGAACGGCGAUUUCGUUUCCCCGGUACCCAAUGAACGCGGCGAUUCAGCAACUUUAUAAACUUGUGGCUAAGCAGUGCAAUGAUUCUGCUACCCAAUGCUAAGAUGAGAGCGGCGAUUCUGCAAAUGAUUGACUCUAGAUAGAGUUGGGUGACAUGUGAUUAGGAUAAUCAAUAAUGAAAUAGUAAGCAGAAACGAUAGAACUUACAUGCUUGUCUUUCAUUAUCGCAUAAGUAGAGGCAUAAACAUGAGUAUUUUUCAUGUAUAUAGGAGAGACACAUAUGCUAAGUUGACUACAUGUUAUCUAUUUGUACAUGCUUAUGUUGCCUUCUUUGGACCUGACGGGUCGAGCUCUUCCCUUGGAUUGUAUUUGGGAAAGUAUAAAUGUAAAUAAUGUGGUGAAAUGAUGUAAUAGAAAAAUAGUUUACUUUAUGUCAUUUGAUAUUCUCCCUAUGCAAUCCUUGUAUUCUAUUUCUGUUUGGAAUGUGAGAUGUAUAUAGGCUUGUGACUCCUUGGGCAGAUAGAGAAAACUCUGUCCGUUCGUCAAGUUUGUGUGCGUACUCGAUAAAUGCUUCCGUUGUGGGCUCGGGGCAUGACACUUCUUCUUCUUCUUCUUCUUCUAGCAGUUUACAUGGGAAGAUUACCUUGUUGUUCUUAUAUAAGGAAGACCGCAAAUUGUCAAAGAAGGUUGAUUGCCUUUCGACAAAGCUCAACAAUGUUACUAACAUGGUGAAGAAGAUUUUCGAGAAACUUCAUUAUCAACCUGAUGAUGUUCAAACUUUGGUCAUGAAGAAGGUUCAGAUUGAUGUACUUUUAGAUUGGUUGCAUCGCAUGUAGUUUAGGUUUUUCUUUGCACCUUAUCUUUUGCUCGUGUUGUAUUUAGGUUAAUCUUUUGCUUUCUUUACUUCUCGUUGCCUAUGAUGCAUUAUGUGUUGGAACUUUAGUACCUAGUCCUUUACCUAGAUUCAUGUUUGCUUUUAUUAUCGUUUCUCUUUUUGGCAAUUUAUUGACAAAAAAAGGAAGAGAUAAGGAGAGAAUGAACAAAGGGCAGAGUACAAAGGGAUAGAGAUUAUAACAUCUUGACAUGAACAUAGGAACAUAGGGAAACUUUGAGACAUUUUAAGACAUUUUAAAAUAAUGACAUGUUCAUGGAGAAUGUUUGUUUUUACAAGGCGUACAAUACUUCAAGACUCCUAGUGUGUAACACACUGAACUUUAGCAAAUUGUAAAGUUCGAGUGUUUGAUCUGUGUUCUGAGUUUUUUCAAGUAUUCUGGAGGGUCGUUGACAGUGUUCCAAACUAUGACUCGCGUCCCGAGGAGUGAGGGUGAAAACUUAGCGUCAAAAUCUCCAAAAUGAGGAAUUUGGGCUAUUCGCCAGUUGACUCUGCAGGGCAGAGUACCAGUACCGCAUCGGCUUGGUACCGGUACUGGACCUGGUACCGGUAAUGCAUCGUAUGGUACCGGUACCCAGUGCGUUUUCUCGCCAACCCAAGGCUCGGGUUUGCGCGUGCUGCUGCCUGGUACCGGUACCAAAUCCCGUGUCACCGGUACACAGUGCAGACUGCGAACUGCUUGUUGUUGAGGGGUGUUUUUGGUUUUGUUACAACACUAUAUGUAACCCACACCCCCUCUUGUGUUCCCUGAGCUUGGAGACAGAGGAGAACCAGGUAGGGAAGCCCUCCUCACCUCCUCUUUGAUUUUCUUUCCAUUUUGUUGGGAUUUUUGAGGAUUGAUCACCUCUUUUUGCUUCCCUUUGUUUGUUGGUGGCAUUUCCACCAUGGGAGAAGCUUUGGAGCUUGGAUUAGAGCUUGUUGGAGGAGAGAUCUUCUACCCUAACUCAUUUCAAGUUUAGUUUGGAGCUUCUAAAAAGGUUAGUAACAUGUUUCUCUCAUUUGGAUCAUGUUUUUGGAGGAUUUUGUGUAGAAACCCUAGAAAUGAGAAAUCUAGGGUUUAUUUGGGGAUUUUUGAUUUGUAGCUUUUGGAGCUCAAUUGAUUGGUUUAUAACCUUCCUUUAGGUUGGUUUUGGAGUGCUCUAGCUUCCAUUUGGAAUUUGAGAGGAUUUUUCCAACAUUUAGGUGAGUUUUGCCCUUUUCUUGGGUUGGUUAAAGAUGAACACUUUGGGUGUUCGUUCGUUUCGUCUAACCCUCUUAGAAUUUUUUUUAGGGAGCAAAGAAACUUGUGGGCAUCUUCGUUCGCGCAAACGAAAGGGUUACAGGGAGUUCUUGGUGGGUUUGACCUCACCGAAAUGGGUGAACUCCCCCUAUAUUAUAUUCCUUAUUAUAAAAUGAAAAUUCAUACAUAUUCAUGCUAGAUAGAGCAUAAAUGAAUUUUAGAAUGUUUAAAACGCAUAUGUUAUGUAUCAUGACUUUUCACCUCUAUGUAAUAGAGAGAUAUGUGUAUAGCACUCAUGCUAGUAUAUGGCAUUCUCAUGAUAUGUUUGAAUAAUGUUACUUGUAGUGAAAUGACAAGCUUCUUCCUCGCUUAUGAACAUUGGACAUAUGCUAAACAUAGGGAUAUUAUAAUGUCAUGAAGUGGCAUUGGACUUGGAACAUGUAUUGUCAUAGAGAACCAUAAUGUUAUAAAGUGGCAUUAGAUUAGUAAGGCCCCGUUUGGAUACCCCUAAAAACGUAGUAUAGUUAAACUAUACUACACUGGUAGGAAAAUUAUCCUAUGAAGUGCUUGGAAGAAAAAAAAAAAAGGUAAUUUUUGGAGUAUGGUUAAACUAUACUCCAAAAAAUGGUGUAAAGUUAUAUCCACCCUAACCAAAGGAAAACAAUUCCACUAUUUUUGGGCAAAGAUGCAUCAAGUUCUAACUUUUAAAUUUCAACAUAAAAUUUUAAAUUUCAAAAUUUUUAAAUUUCAAAAUUUUUAAAUUAAAUUUAGAUUUUUAUAAUUUAAAUUUUAAAUUUUUAAAUUUCAAAUUUAAAAUUUAAAAUUUCACAUUUCACAUAUCAAAUUUUAAAUUUUAAAUUUCAUUAAAAUUUUAAAUUUUAAAUUUUAACUUUUAAUUUUAAAAUUUAGAGAAAUCCCGUGAAAUUGCACAAUGCGCAUCCAAACAGUUUAAAAAUUGAAUCCGUGGACUUUUUAGAGUUACAGGAUUCCCUAUUUUAUUUGGACCAAAACCACAGUUUAUAAAUUCCAUGGAGAUUUUUUUCUGUGUAUCCAAACGGGCCCUAAAUGGUUGAACAUUUAAAGGAUAUAGAACUAGACCUUUGGGGUUGCUAGUAUUAUACCAUGUUGAGACAUGAUGACCGAGUACUUGAGAUAAUGAUUACACUUGCUUGCCAUUUGUGCUCAUUCGCACAUGCUUGUGAGGGUCGCUCCCCACAAGCCGGCACUCCGGAGUUGGCCUAUGCGACAUAUACUCGCCGUGCGGGAUUGAGGGCCUACUGGGUCACCGUGGGACAAUCACAUUUCUAGAGAAAUGCUGGACUACCCGGGGCCAUUAGGCGACACAAGCCGAACUGCACUUUUGUAGGUCCUAGAUUGGAAAUGGAUAUAACAUGUAACCACUAAAUGACAAUUACUACUCAAGAGUAAAGAUUGGUUGGGCAUAGUUGCAUAUUUGUUGAUUACAUUUAGUGCAUAUUCGUAUACAUGCGGACAUGUUUGGAGCAUAUUAGUAUACGCAUUCAUGAUAGAAUUGUAAUAUCACCAAAUGGACACUAUGCUAAUUUGAAGCAUAGUAGCUUAGUAUAGUAUUAUACUUGUUAAAUUUACUUCUUGUUUAAUUUGAAGCAUAGUAGCAUAUACUUUUGUCUCUAUAGCCUAGUGGUGUAUUUCGCUGAGGUCGGCAACUUGCCCACUAAGAACUAUUGUUUAAUAGUUCUCACGCCCUCUUUUUUGUUGUUUUUAUUUCAGAGCCAUCCGCACCGGGAGAGGCUAGGGACCGCCGCAAAGGGAUCGCGUCUAGCUAGAUAGCGGUGUACAUUGCUACUAGGUGGUUAUCUCUCCUCUUUGUAUUGUUGGAUAGAGAGAGACUUUCGUACCCGAUGUAUAGAGACCACCAUUUUGUUUAUCUACCUUAUGUUUUAUCUUAGUCGUUUAGUUCUUUUAUUAUUCAUCUUGUCAUUAGAAUUUAGUUGUAAUCUUGCUCUGAUAUAUCUAGAUGCUUAUUUAUUGUUGCUUUAAUUAUCACUUUAUUGUAGACUCCUUAUAUGUUGCAGACAUAUGGCGGGUCUGGACACGCACCGGGCGGGCUUCCGCUGGGCCCCGAGGCGUGACAGAUUAUUUUGGUAUCAGAGCCUAGAGUUAAGUCUUAGUGGACCUAUCAAACCUUAGGCCGGUUGGACUAUAGGAAAUAGGCUCGUGAGAGACGGGGUCUAUUUGACUUGUAAGCGAAAGUAUCAUUAUUGGGUUUUAUGAUAACUCUAAAAGUGUUGGAGUUUAAUCGAAGUGCAUAACUUUUAACUUCGCGGAGGGUUACGUUGGCGGCCGACAACGUAACAUCGGGAGUUAGUAGUAAAGGGCAUUUCCUUACUUUUGCAUGAUUUGGGGUAUUAUUCUAUUGAGUGAGGUUACGAUAGCGUGAGUUUUACUAAUUUGCGCUUUUUAUGUUGUUGUAGUGAUUAUGCCGACGACUCGCUCUAAAUCUGUUGGAGCGGAGAAUGCGGCAAACCUUGAGGAGGUGGAGACCUCCGCUACCUCCGGAUCUAGUGAGGUCCGAGACUUGAGGACCCAGCUUGCGGUCCUUACUGAUUUAGUGGCUCAGCAGGCGGCGGCAGCUCAGCGGCAGGCUGAUGUGGCGCACCGACAGGAGACGUGGAUGAAGCAACUGGAGGACUUGCUACUUCAGCAGGCAGCUGCUUGGGAGGCUCAGGUUCCCGCACCACCCGCGCCGGUUGAGGAGGUGGCACCGAAGGCACCGUCCCCCGCGCCCGGUGUUCCACGAGCGGCGCCUAUUGUUGAGCCCUCGGGAGGAGGUUUUUGUGGCACCACCGGCUCAGGUGCCUACGGCAGGAGCGAUUUUUCCUGUGAUUGUUGAGGGAGCAGAGCGGGACCGGCUUAUGGAUCGUCUCAACCAGUUCAGGAGGUGCAACCCACAGAUCUUCGACAGGGAGAAAGUGGACCAGUGGAUCGUGGAGAAGUGGCUUAUGCAUAUGGAGAAAUUAUUCCACGACACCUUUGUGGAGGAGCGUGAUAGGGUAUGGCUCGCUACUCACCAUCUUGNUGUGGGAUAGAUUUUGGACGACAGCGAUGGGAUUGUGUGGUAAUGGAUGGUUAUGAUAGAAUCGUGGAGAUAUUGGGUGGUUAAGAUGGGAUUGCGGGAAUAUUGCGAAUUAGUCCUUUCCCUUUGAUCAUAUUACACCUUAAUCAAAAUAUUAUAUGAUUAAGGUGGGGCAUUUUGUAAAUAUACAAAAGGGAAUAGACUAAUAUGCUAUUUUAUAUACCGUGCGUAUUAUUUUUUUCGCAAUCCGGUGCAUGUUCAAAAUUUAAAUUUUAUCCAUGCACCUGGUGCAUGGAUAAUCUCAUAAAUCAUCUCUAUUUUUUAUUUCUUUCUCUCUCCUUUUUUUUUCUUUUUCUUCUUUUAUUCCUCUCUUUUUUUUUUUUUAUGCUUCAACAUAAACUUGCAAAAUUUACGUGUUGUUUACUUUAGCUUUAUUUACUACUUUUGCCUCUAUAGCCUAGUGGUGUAUUUCGCUGAUGUUGGCGGCUUACCCACUGGGAACUAUUGUUUAAUAGUUCUUACGCCCUCUAUAUUGUUAUUUUUAUUUCAGAGCCAUCCGCACCGGAAGAGGCUAGAGAUCGCGGCAAAGGGGUCGCGUCUAGCUAGAUAGCGGAGUACGUUGCUUCUAGGUGAUUAUCUCUCCUUUUUGUAUAGUUGGAGAGAGAGAGAGACUUUUGUACCCGAUGUAUAAGACCACCAUUUUGUAUUUAGUUGUAUCUUGUGGUUCUCUUGAUAUACCUAACUUUUAGUUUAUGAUAGUUAUUCAGUUUUAUUUGCUUCCAUUUGUUAUUAGAAUUUAGAUCUCAUUAUGCUCUGAUAAUCUAUUAGAUGCUUUCUUUCUUGCUUCGUUUAUCGCAUUAUUGUAGACCCCCUAUAUGUGUAGGCAUAUGGCGGGACACGCACCGGGCGGGCUUCCGCUGGGUCCCGAGGCAUGACAGAUUAUAUUGGUAUCAGAGCCUAGGGUUGAGUCUUAGUAGACCUAGCAAACCUUAGGCCGGUUAAACUAUAGGAAAUAGGCUCGUGAGAGACAGGGUCUAUUUGACUUGUAAGCGAAAGUAUUAUGAUUGGAUUUUAUAUUAACUCUAAAAAAUGUUCGAGUUUAAUUGAAGUGUAUGGCUUCUAACUUCAUGGAGGGUUACGUUGGCGGCCGACAACGUAACAUCAGGAGUUAGUAGUAAAGGACUCUUCCUUAUUUUCGCAUGAUUUUGGGUAUUAUUUUCGUUGAGUGGGGUUGCGAUAGCGUGGGUUUUAUUAACUUGCGCUUUUAUGUUAUUGUAGUGAUAAUGCCGACGACUCGCUCUAAGUCUGUUGGAGCGGAUAAUGCUGCAAAAUUUGAGGAGGCGGAGACCUUCGCUACCUCCGGAUCUAGUGAGGUCCGUGAGUUGAGAACCCAACUUGCGGUCCUUAUUGACUUGGUGAGUCAGCAGGCAGCAGCAGCUAAGCAGUAGGCCAAUGCGUCGCGCCGACAGGAGGCACGAAUGAAGCUACUAGAGGACUUGCUUCUUCAGCAGUCAGCGGCGAGGGAGGCUCAGGUUCCCCCACCACCCGCGCCGGUUGAGGAUGUGGCACCGCGGGUCCCCCGCGCCCGGUGUUCCACGAGUGGCGCCCAUUGUUGAGCCUCGAGAGGAGGUUGAUGCGGUACCACCGGCUCAGGUGCCUAUGGCGGGAACGAUUUUCCUGAUGAUGGUUGAGGGAGUGGAGCGGGACCGGCUUAUGGAUCGCCUCAACGAGUUCAAGAGGUGCAAUCCCCGGAUCUUCGACGGAGAGAAAGUGGACCACUAGAUCGUGGAGAAGUGGCUUAUGCAUAUGGAAAAAUUAUUCCAUGACACCUUUGUGGAGGAGCGUGAUAGAGUUUGGCUCGCCACUCACCACCUUGACGGCGAGGCCUAUCGCUAGUGGACGGACAUUCGGGACAACCUGAACACGGAUCUAUCGGCGAUCACUUGGAGACGGUUUAAGGAGCUUUUGAUGUCCAAGUAUUUUCCGGAGAGCGUCAACAGGCGGAUGGAAAAGGAUUUGCGCAGCUUGCGCCAGGGGGAUCGGCCUGUGGCAAAGUUUGAGCGGGAGUUCUCCCGACUCUUGCAUUGUGUGCCCUUCGUUGUGCGGGAUGACGAGGACAAGGCCCGUAUUUUCGAGCGUGGACUUCGGCCGUCGAUUUUUCGGUUUGUGCAAUCCUCCAACCUCCAGACUUACAGAGAUGUGGUAGACCACGCGCUCAUUGUGGAGAACGGCGCGGUGGAUGUUCAGGAGCAUCAAGAGGACUUAGACAAGGGUAAGGGAAAGAGGCCCGCGGCCGAGAGUGCAAGUUAGACGCAUUCUGGGAGGCCACCGAGGUACCCUAGGAGCCAGUCGCGAGGGCAGGAAAACAAGAUUAUUCCACUGAAGUUUUGGAAUAAGAUUUUAGUUUCUUCAGAAAUAGAAUGCUAGAAAACAAGUAUUCCCACUAUGUUUAGAAAACUAAUAUUGAAUUCUAGAAAUUGACACUUUAUAUAAUGUCAUUUCUUGGUCUAUUCAUGUUCCGAAACUCAAGAUGAUUUAUCCAAUUUUCUCUUCUUGGGUUAUUGUUCACGGUGCGGUAUUACAGAAACCAUUUCAAUUUUCAGAAACUACUUUCCACGUUGGGAAUUAGAGUUCUAAUCCGACUUUUAUGUGUUCCAAACUAUAAAUAUGUAUCCAAGCGUUCUCAAACGUGAUAAUCCACAAAACAUAUACUAGAGAGCAAUCCUAGAGGCUUUAAUUUCAUUUUUUUCUUCCAUAAAGCCUCUUCCGGAUCAAUUCAAGUUGCCUUAAUUUUUCGUUCUCACAUUGAAUUUAUCUAACCAUCGCUUAAAAAUCUCUUCAAAAGUGAUUAUGUGAUAUUCUAAGCGAAGAAUCACCACCAACCCUUCUUCUAGUUGCUCUGGACGGAGUGUGCAUUGUGGAUUCGACGUGCGCAUUGUGGAUUUGACGUGUGGAGGCUUUUUCGUGGAUUUGAGACAUAUUGUUGGUGGAUUAAGGUGGCGAAAAAUUUGAUGCCUUCUUGACGAACUUCCCAUAAGAACAACAAGCUAGUUGAUUCAUAGGAAAAAACUAUCUAGCUACAGUUGACGGUCGAACAGCCAUUUAUUUAUCAUGAAUACAACAUUCCAUUUCACCUAAGCAUGACAUCUAUGGUGAGUAUUUGUACAACAAACACUUUCUGCACUAGAAUUCAGAUAUAUUAUUGUCAUCAUGCAUUAUUAGAGAUAUUAAAUUCGCAAAUCAUCUACUCUUGUGUGAUUGUUCACCAUCUAGAUAAAUCAACCACAAGCUAUUAAUAGUUCUAGUUCAGAUGACAAGACAAGAUAUUAAGCUAGUUUACUUAAAGUUAGCUCGAUAACUUAAACCAAGUUCAGGUCAGGGCAAUUCAAGACAUUCUCUCUAAGGCAAACUAGAUCCAAAGCAUUGCUCAAAGUCUAAAACAAUGGCACGACAUUUAGUCGCAAUUAUAACAUUAACAUGGUUUGAGAUAUACAGAGGUAGAUGACAGAUAGAGGAAGCAAGAGCAACAUUGUUGUACUCAUCGUUACUUGUGAACAAGCAUAGACAAUCCAGGAUAGACAGAGCUUGGAAUAAAAUGAGACGAGGACUGAGACCUAAUUUUGCAAGAUCAGCUAAAAAACUAUUUGAAAUGUGAAACAAUCAACAUGAUACAAAAUCAAGGACAUUAAACAAGUGGCAGAUAUUUGCAGUCAACGGUCAACAUGAAAAUACAUGCAGCCGAGUGCAGCGUACGUACAUUUGUCACCACAGAGUUUUGAAAGACAAAUUUUCAGACGCCUAGAACGGGGAAGAGUAGAUAGUAACCUGGGACUAUGGUCCAAAGCCUUUGCCAGUUGAAGCGAUGGAGGAGGACCUUGGAAUCUUCAGUGACCAUAGCAAGCAGAUCCUUCUCUGGAUUCCACACCGACAUUUUUAUCUGCAUACGAAUUUCAAAAAAUUUAAAAAAAAAAAUCAGUAUAUAUAUCAACAAAAACUAGAAUAAAAAUAAAUAAAUAAAUAAAUAAAUAAAUAAAACUUUUCUCCAGACUGUGCGCCAUGAAGAAACCUAUGAAUCCAAAAGGAAACAGAAUGAAAUUUAGAAAAUAGAGAGCACACAUAAUUCCAUUCCAUGCUGCUAAAGAUCAUGAUAAACCAAAAAUAGUCGUGUACACAAGAUUUUCAGACUUUAGUCAGCAAGCAGCACAAGAGUUUCCGCAACUUACAUCAACGUAAUUUAUUGUGGCUGCCACUUCAUGGACGACUGGUCAGAUCUAUCCGUCGUUUUAUCCAAUCGAACUUGAAAUUUAAACGAGUUUUAAAGAACGGACCGCCAAUAGGAACAGCAGCAAAUAAUGAAGAAAACAAAAUCUCCAAAAGACAGUCAGGGUUUUUGGGACUCCGAUUCGUUCCAAAUCUAGAUUCGGGGAAGAGAAAAGACGUGUAGGUGCGAUCGCAUCACCUGAAAGGGGAUGGGCUUGUCGAACUGGAGCUGGAAAGGGAUCGCUCCCGCCGAGGCCUCCUCGCUCUCCGUUUCCAUCUCGACCUCCUCUUCCGCCAUUGUUGGACACCAACAAUUGGAGAAGAAAAUGUAGGCGGAGAGGAGAGAAUAGCCGAAGCCCUUGCGUCGCCCUGGGCGGGAAAUAGGGUUUCGCAGAUACUGAGAACUGUUGAGAGGGGGCUUUUUUUGCAAAUAGCCCCCUAACUAAUUUUUUUUUUAAAAUUGGCCCUAUCAAAAAUUUAUUUGCAAAAAUGGCCCUGGUCCCACCACGUCAGCGCCACGUCAGCGCCACGCGGGCGGGGCUGGGCCAUGUGUUUAAGUUGAAUACGGUGAACCAUUCACCGUGUUCAAUACAAGGUUUUUGUAUUAGACACGGUGAAUGGUUCACCGUGUCCAAUACAAAAUGGUUAACUGCGAGGUAUUUGUAUUGGACACGGUGAAUGAAUCACCGUGUCCAAUACAAAUAAUUGAACACGGUGAAUGAUUCACCGUGUCCAAUACAAACAUUCAAAACUUAGUCAUUUUUGGCUAAGUUGGAGGUAUUUGUAUUGGACACGGUGAAUGAUUCACCGUGUCCAAUACAAAAACCUUGUAUUGAACACGGUGAAUGGUUCACCGUGUUCAACUUAAACACAUGGCCCAGCCCCGCCCGCGUGGCGCUGACGUGGCGCUUGCGUGGCGGGGCCAGGGCCAUUUUUGCAAAUAAAAUUUUGACAGGGCUAAUUUUAAAAAUAAAAUUAAUCAGGGGGCUAUUUGCAAAAAAAGCCCGUUGAGAGGUUUUCCUCGCUCUCUCGACGGCUAAAUGGGCGCUUUUCGUUCUCUUUAGGCCAAAACGGCGGCGAAGCUGCGCAUAGCGGCGAUUUUUGCGAAGCAGCCCUCUUCCAAAUUUUUAUUUUAAAAUUAGACCAACUAAAUUUUUAUUUUUAGACUGCGUUUGGUUCGAGAACUAAAUUUUGGAGAACAACUUUUGUUGUUCCCGAAAACAGGGGAUAUUCCGGUACAAGAUAGAACAAUUGUAAAUUUGUAUUUGGAUGCAUUCGAGGAUAUUCUAGAGGAUAUCCUUAAUAGCGUUUGGAUAAAAAGUCUACAACAACGUCUAAAUAUAUUUUUAAAAAUAAAAUAAUUAAUUUAUAUUAGUAUAUUUUAUAUAAAAUUAUUUAUAAAAUUAUUUCAUAUAGUAAUUUAUAAUAUAAUAUUUUAUGUAAGAAUCUAAUUUAAAAUAAUAUAUUUUAUUUUAUUAUAUAUAAUAAUUUAUUUUAUGUAAUAAUUUAUUUUAUAUAAUUUAUUCAUAAUAUAUUAAUGAAUAAAGUAUAAUACUAACAAUAUCCCUAUAUUUUUAAUUAAUAAUUAGUAUAAAUUUUAAUACAAAUAAAAAAUAUAUAUAUAAUUAAAUAUUAAAGUAUAAAUGAUAGAGUUUAAUAAAAUAAAAAAUAUAUCAAAUUUAAUUAAUUUAUAUUAUAUAAUAAAAUUUAAGUAUAAUAUAUUAUCAUAAAAAUAAUAUUUAUACUAAUAUUUAUUUAUUAAAUUUGAGCAUUCAUUUAAUUUAUUUGAAAUUAAUUAAAAUAAAGUAUAAACAAUUAAAAGGCCAGAAAAAAAAAGAAGCCAAAAUCUCUUGUUCCAGCUUCUUAAAAGGGAGAACAAGCUUAACGGGUUGUUCCCGGAACAACCCGUUAAGCCGGGAACAACCCGGUUGUUCCAAAAAACAUUGUGUUUGGAGGGAUAUCCCGCCUUGCUCUGGGAUAUCCCUCCAACCAAACGCAGCCUUAGAGUAGUGCUACUGGUACAACCCAUCUUGGGUUGUACAUCCUACAACUAUCCUAUCCAAUGGCUGAUAUUAGUUAGCUUUUGAAAAAAAAAAAAUCAGUGUUAUCCUCACUCCCAUUUUCUUCCUCCUCACUCUUUUCCCCCUUUUUUGAUCUCUCUCCUUUUUUCCAGCGCUUGCGGGUUAGAGAGAAAGAGGGUUGAGCGAUAGAGCGAGAGAGAGAAGAUCUCGAGCGAGAGAGGGGCGCCUCACUCCUCUUUUCUGGCGCCUGCGAGCUAGAGAGAGAAAGGCCUACGAGCGAUAGAGCGAGAGAGAGGAGAGCUUGAGCGAGACAGAGGCGACCUCCGCGAGAGAAAGCGAGAGCGAGAGUGAGGGGAACUUCGUCUUUGAUUUGUAGUUUCUGAGAGGGGAAGCGCUGGUUUGAGAUUGGGUGGGCUUCAAAGCGAUGCUUCUUGCAGAGUUGUGAUCGGCGAGGGGAACUUCAUGUUUGAUUUGGUGUCCAAGUGGCCGGAUGCGGAUGGCGCCUUGAUUAGCAUCUUGCAUUUGGUAAAUCUCCCCUUUCUAUUUCUCAGUGGAUGUGUGUGACUUAGGUUAAUGUUGUAGUUAUUACAAAUUAGUUGAUUGUGAUGUUGUAAGCAUUUGAUCGCAGAGAAUUAGUGAUCUUUAAUGUUUAAUGAAACUGGUUUCUUUUUUUAUGUUGUUAUACCGUUGAGUGUAUAAGUAAUGAUGAACGUGAGAAGAUGGAGGAAUUUAAGUGAAAAAGGUAAAAUUGGGACACAACACAAAUGCUAGAGUUCUAAUUUAACAAUUGAAAGGUUCGUGACCAAAGUAAAACUAUGCUAAAAGGUCGAGAUCCCGUGGUGCAGUUUCCUCAUAGGUGGAAAAAAGUUUUGAAUUUAAAAAUUUCAAUCCUAAUGACAAUGACAACUAACUAGUUUACUACUGGAGUACAUUUAAUGAACUUCGCCUUUGUCACCUUUGUUUUACUUACAUUUGUUUAGAUGCAUCAUAAAUAAAGUAUAUAAGUGAUUUCUCAAAGUUGAUUUUGCAAAUUUAUUGCUCUUCCUGUAUUGAUGCUGAAAUAUUAUUAUCUUGGAACUAGCGAGGCCAAUUCACUAGCCAGUUCAGACAGGUUGAUCAGUAAUAUUCUAUAUAACAUGAAAGUCCAACUAUUCGUCUCUUAUGCAUAAUUGCUGUCCAAGUGUGCUCAAUUUACUAGCUGCGAUUCCUUACUUCUAGUCCACACUGUCCAAUUACUUCCAGUAUAUGAUGCUUGUCCUUGAGCUGCAAAAACUUAUGUCUCUUUUAUAUGAUGUGUGAAUGGCUUGUAAUUCAAGUGAGCUUUAUCUUAUCAGUCUUAAGAAUAAGACUGAUAAGUUGCGACUAUCUCAUUGGAGUUCUUUGUCUUCACAUUUGUCAUGCACUAACUAAAACGUUUAGGAUGUGCUUAUAAUAAAAUACUUGUAUUAUAUUGUUAUGCCACAAUGAUUCAUUUUUAGGACAUAGUAGAAUGUGGUGUAUACAUUAUUAAUUUAGAUGUAUUGAUUUUGAUAAAUAGUUUGCCCGGCCACCAUUAUUCCAAUUGUGUAUUUCGACUGCAUGUGAUGUCUUACAGGUUACAGGUGAGCAAUUUUGUUAAAUUUCUGGGUUGACUAAUUAUUUGAAUUGAACAUUUUUUAGAUGGAUGAAGAAAGAAACAGUGAGGUCAGAGACGUAAAUAUUUCGGCACCAGAAAUUGGAAUGUCUUUUAUCAAUUUUGAAGCCGUUUUUAAUUUCUAUAAGCAUUAAGCACAAGAAUCAGGAUUUGAAGUUGUAAAGAGGAUAACUAAAAUGACUGAUGGCAAGGCUACGUAUGUAAUAAUCGCAUGCUCUCGUCAUGGAAAAAUGCAUCGGACCGUGACGAAUCUUCGUCCUCGUCCAUCGUUGGUGAAGACGAACUGUCUUGCGAGGAUAAAUGUGGUAAUAAAUGCGGAUUCAUCUUGUGUAAUAAGUAAAAUUGUACUUGAGCAUAAUCACAUCCUAAGUCCUUAUAAGUCUCAAUUUUUUCCCUGCAAUCGAGUUAUAGAUCCGAACAUCAAGAGGCGGCUUGAUCUUAAUGAUCGUGCUGGAAUCAGAUUGAACAAAAAUUUUAAUUCUAUUGCUGUUGAAGCUGGUGGGUAUGAAAACUUAACAUUUGGAGAGAAAGAUGCUCGUAAUUAUAUUGAAAAAGUCCGUCGGCUACGACUUGGUGAAGGUGACGGCGAGGCAAUUUGUAAUUAUUUUAGAGAAAUGCAAGAGAGAAAUGGAAACUUUUUUUAUGCUAUAGAUCUAGACGAUGAUUCUCGGCUUCGCAAUGUCUUUUGGGCAGAUGCUCGGAGUAGAGCGGCAUAUGAAUGUUUCGGAGAUGUAAUUACUUUCGACUCGACAUAUCUAACAAAUAAGUACGGUAUGCCAUUUGCCCCUUUCGUUGGUGUUAACCAUCAUGGACAGUUGAUCUUGUUGGGAUGCAGCCUACUCUCCACUGAAGAUACAAAAUCGUUUGUAUGGCUCUUUCGGAAUUGGUUGUCAUGCAUGUCCGAGUGUGCCCCCAAAGCAUUAAUCACAGAUCAAGAUAAAGCGAUGCAAAAUGCUAUCACACGUGUCUUUCCUGAUACUCGGCAUCGAUAGUGCUUAUGGCACAUUACAAAGAAAAUACUAGAGAAGCUAAGAAGCUAUGACGAAUAUCAUUCGAUUAAGAGCAUUAUGAUGGAUGCUAUUUAUGAAUCACUGACAGAAAUUGAAUUUAAGGAAAAAUGGAAGAGAAUGAUAACUUGUUACGGACUUCAAAAUAAUGAAUGGUUGUCAGGCCUGUACGAGGAAAGACGUAAGUAGAUACCAGUUUAUGUAAAGGAUACAUUUUGGGCUGGAAUGUUCACAACACAGCGAAGCGAAAGUAUAAAUGCAUUUUUUGAUGGAUAUGUGAACUUGAAAACUUCAUUAAAACAAUUUGUUGAGCAAUAUGAAAGCGCUAUAAAGAAUAAAGCUGAAAAAGAAGCAGAAUUAGACUACAAAUCAUUCAGGUCAGUCAUACCGUGUAUCAGCCGUUAUGUAUUUGAGAAACAAUUUCAAGAUGUGUACACGAUUGCGAAAUUUAGAGAAUUUCAGGCAGAGCUUAAGGAAUUAAUGCAUUGCGAGACAUCCUUACUGUCUUCGAAGGGCAAUGCGUAUUCUUAUCAAGUUAAUGAGUAUGGCGUCGGAGGUAAAGAUACAGCUUUCACAGUAUAUUUUGAUGAGGGUGGCUCUCUAGUAAGUUGUAUUUGCCGUCUAUUUGAGUAUAAAGGUAUUGUAUGUCGACAUUCAAUUGUCGUCCUAGUUUAUAGGAAGUUGAUGAUUGUCCCAAAUUCUUACAUAUUAACACGAUGGAGGAAGGACGUCAGACGGAGGUAUACCCGCGUGAAGACAUGGCAUAAGAACUUAGGGAGCACCGCUGAAAUUUAUCGAUACGAAGUAGUAUGUAGUAAUAUGUAUGACAUUGCAGACAUAGCUGCUGAGUCCGAUGAGAAAUGUGAAGUUGCAUUACGUACGUUGCGAGAUUUGAAGACCAAAUUGGAAUACACUUCAUCAUCCAAGGGGAGCAAUGAUAUUGAAUAUUCGCUGAUUGCGGCAACACCUUCGAAUGGUGCAUCGGAUGAUAGAAGUAAUGACCGGAGAGUUCUAAGCCCGCUACCAGUUCGCAGUAAAGGCCGCCCGCCAAGCAAAAGAAAAGAGUCAAUGACCGAUAAAGUUGUACGACGGUUGAAGAUGAAAGGCAAUAAGCAACAGGUAUAUCUUGACCUAUCUUAAUCAAUUUUUUUGUUGGAUUCUAAUAUACAAUAGACGACAAUGAUUGAUAAUUAUUCAUGAUAUAUUUUAACAGGUUGGGCAACAUUGUGGGGACAAGAUAUAUAAUGGUGAAUGUUCCAUCUAUAAUCGUCUCUCAUCAUCUCACUCGACCUCCUCCCAACAGAGUGUAAAUAUUUUAUGCAUUACUAUAUCUAGAUUUUUUUUUUCUAAUAUUCAAUAUAGUAUGAUUUGACUAUUUGUUUUUAAAAUUCUGGAUCUCUUAUUCUACAAAACCAAUUGAUUUAUUAAAACAGGUUCAUCUACAAAGUCCUAAGAUUAACAAUUCGUCGCCAAGUGACUUACCUUAUGGGAUCGGUGUACACACCGGCCCAGCCAUUAUCGUAACAGUAAUAGAAAUUAUAUUUCUUAUGGACGGUUCUUUAAUACAAUUUUAUCUAUAUACAAAUAAUAUGGUUUAAAUUUUCUUUCUUUUAAUAUCAGACAACGUGGGGCCCCAAAAAUAUAUCUGUAUCAUCAGAUCCUAUCAUGUAUCCUCAUAGAGUGGAUAUUAGUCCUCAAUCUUCAAAUCAAAAUCUGGCCGCUCAGACGCACAUGCCACAUCCGACUCAUUUGCAACAGGUAUUGACAAAGUCUUGAUACAAUCUAUAUAUGCGUAUUGUAUUCUUGGCUUUAAAUUGAUCCUAUUAACCUUUUAAACAGUUGCAGGAAAAGAAAAUCCCGCAGGAACAUCAAUUUCAGCACGGUGGAAGAGCACCGCCCACAUGAAAUCAGCAUCCAUUGUAUUCACUGUACUGUUACAGAUUCAAAAUUGAUAUGUGUUGUACCUGCUUGUUCGGGAGUGUCGAAUUAUAAACAGUGAUUUAACAAUCUUUCAUAUUUUUCUUGUUACUAUUGUAGCACUGCAUGUAAAUUGACAAUAAUGUAAUGACGUGCUUAUAUUCCUCAUAUCUAGCAAUAUUGAAUGUUCUUGCUUUCUGUUUAGUAUAUGAGUAAUGUGUGUAUAUAUUCGUGAAUUUGUGUUGUAUUAUUAUACUCAAUGUAUAUUUAUAUAUAUUUAAAAUGCUAUGCAUUACAUACUGCUUGUACAUUGUCUGCCACCACGAAUGACGCACCUCGCACGGUCGAUGGAAUUUUCGGUGCCGUGGGGUAGUAUUCAUGAUUCAGAUGAGUAUUUAUAUGUAUAUGGGUAUCAGGUAUUGCGAGUCCAUGGCUUCCAACAGAUGCAAGCAUCUACUGUUAAUUACCCCCUUGAGAUUGGGGCACCUUCGAUUAAGAGACCUUUAUAGAUUGGAUGAGAUGGAUCGUAUCUCGGUUUAUUGAAUCCUAAGUAUAUGUAUUAGGAUUCAGUUGGAUUUGAGGUUGAUUAGGCCCUAAGUAUAUGUGUUAAGACCUGAUCGAUAUUAAACUCUAUGUAUUAGAGUCUAAUUAGUUCAUGAGAUAUGGGUAUGAGAUCUGGGUAUUGGUUCAUGGGAUUUGGGUAUUGGUUUAUGAGAUUUGGGUAUUGGUUCAUGGGAUAUGGGUAUCAAGUUUGAUGUAUGGUUCAUGGGAUUUGGUCCAUGAGAUUUGGUGCAUGGUUUAUGGGGUUUGGUCCAUGAGAUUUAGUUGUGGUUCAUGGGAUUUGGUCCAUGAGGUUUGGUUCGGUUCAUGGGAUUGUGGUCCAUGAGAUUUAGUUUUGGUUCAUGGCAUUUGGUCCAUGAUGAUUGGGUUUUGGGCUCAUGGGAUUUGGUCGAUGAGGCUUGUUUUUGGUUCAUGGGUAAGGUUAUGAACUUGGCUCAUGAAUCUUGGUUUAUGGACUUGAUUUCAUGAUUCAUGAUCUGGUUUAUGGUUUAUGAAGUUGGGAUAUAUUGGAUAUAGUUUAUGAACUUGGUUUAUUUUGGUUCAUAGGCCUUGAUUCAUGAACUUGGGUAUGAUCCGUGGUGUUUGGUUCACGAACUUGGGUGAGGUUCAUGGAUUUGGUUGUGGUUCAUGACUUGGUUUAUGAGUUUGGUUCAUGAGAUUGAUUCAUGAAUUGGGUAUAGAAUUGGGAUUUGCGUUCACGAACUUAGGUUCAUGAGCCUAAGUUAGACAAGUUGGAUUUGAGUUUUGGGUUUGGAUUUGAAUUUGUGGACUAUGAUUUGAGUCUGAGGUUUGGUUCUCUAUGUGACUUGGUUUGGAUUUUAUUUGGGUUUUGGAUUUGGGUUGUGGACUUGAUUUGAGUUGGGUUUGGGUUCUUUAUGUGGACUUGGUUUGGUUUUAGGUUUGGAUUUUAUUUGGGUUUUGGAUUUGGGUUGUGGACUUGGGUUGUGGACUUGAUUUGGUUUUGGUUUGGUUUGGUUUCGGUUCGGAUUUUAUUUGGGUUUUGGAUUUGGGUUGUGGACUUGGGUUGUGGACUUGAUUUGGUUUUGGUUUGGUUUGGUUUGGGUUCGGAUUUUAUUUGGGUUUUGGUUUCGGGCUUUAUUUGUGAACUUGAUUUGGUUUGGGCUUGGGUUUAUUUAUGGAAUUGGUUUGGGUUCUUUAUGUGGACUUGGUUUGGUUUGGGUUUAUUUGGGUUUCGGGUUUGGUUUGGAUUGGGUUUGGUUUGGGUUCAAGUUUGGGUUUAUUUGUAGACUAGGUUUGGAUUUGGGUUUGGAUUUGAUUUGGGUUUUGGGUUUCGGUUUAUUUGUGGAUUGUAUUUGGUUUUGGUUUGGUUUGGGUUCGAAUUUUAUUUCGGGUUCGGGGCAAUCCACUUUUGAUUUUUGCAAUUUGGUUCGGAUCCGAAGAAAUCCACCUUUUGAUUUUGGUUUGAUUUGGAGUUCGAAGAAAUCCCCUUUUGAUCUCGAUUUGGAUUUGGGGUCUGAAGAAAUCCCCGUUUUGAUUUUUCCGUUUGAUUUCGAUUUGGAUUUGAUUUUCAAAUUUGAUUUGGGGUCCGAAGAAAUCCCUUCUUUGAUUCUCCAAUUGGAUUCGAUUUGGGGUCCGAAGAAAUCCCCGUUUUGAUUUUGAUUUGGGGUCCGAAGAAAUCCCCGUUCGAUUCUCCAAUUUGGAUUUAGUUUUUCAAUUUGAUUUGGGGUCCGAAGAAAUCCCCGUUUGAUUCUCCAAAUGGAUUUGAUUUUUCAAUUUGAUUUGGGGUCUGAAGAAAUCCCCGUUUGAUCUUGAUUUGGGGUCCAAAGAAAUCCCCAUUUUAAUUUUGAUUUGGGGCCCAAAGAAAUCCCCUUUUGAUUCUGAUUUGGGGUCCAAAGAAAUCUCCAUUUUAAUUUUGAUUUGGGGUCCGAAGAAAUCCCCUUUUGAUUCUGAUUUGGGGUCCGAAGAAAUCCCCGUUUUGCUUCCAAUUUGGGGUCCGAAGAAAUCCCCGUUUUAAUUUUGAUUUGGGGUCCGAAGAAACGGGGAAUCAAAGAUUCCCCUCCCCUCUUCUGGCGAUGCUGUAGAUGUCGUCGGCGAAGUUGUUGACGGUGGCACGGAACUGUUCGGCCGUCGGAUUUGAUAUGACAUUUUCGAAGAAAUAUUGAAGGGUCCGAAGAAACGGGGAAUCAAAGAUUCCCCUCCCCUCUUCUUUCGAAAAGAUCAAAACGGCGAUUGUAGAUGUCGUCGACGGAAUUGUUAACUGUGGCGUGGAUCUGUUCAGCCGGCAAAUUUGGUUCGAUAUUUAUCGAAGAAAUGUUGAAGAAUCGGAAGAAACAGGGAAUCAAAGAUCCCCCUCCCCUCUUUUUUCGAAAGUAUAAAACCAAACAUGCUGGAGAUGGUCGCGGCAAUGUAGAUCACCCAUUCCGUCAUCAACGACUUCAGAUGGGGUAUUGAGAGGUCCGAAGAAACGGGGAAUCAAAGAUUCCUCUCCACUCUCCCAUCGAAGCCAUCUAGAUGGUAUGGAUGGCUACAAUCGCAGGACCAAAGAAAGAAAAAAAAAAUAGAGGGGAGAAGAAGAGAGAUCUUUUUUUUCUUUUUCUUUUUUUUUCUUUUUUUUUUUUCUUUUUAUGUUUUUUUUUCUUCUUCAUUUUUCUUUUUUUUUUUUUUUUUUUACCUGUUGAUCAAAUGACGGAUUGGAUGAAUCAGCUCGACGAUUCCUCCACCUUUUCGCGGCUCGGCGAUCUCCCCUCCUUUUCGCGGCUCGGCGAUUUCUCCUCCUUUCCGCGGUUCGGCGAUUUCUCCUCAUUUCCGCGGUUCGGCGAUCCUCCUCCUUUCCGCGGCUUGGCGAUAUCUCCUUUUUUCUUUUUUCUUUUUUUUGUAUGUCGGAACGAGUGUAGCAAUCUAUCUAUUUUUUUUGUUCUUUGUCUAUCGUAUCAUCUCCGUAAAAAAAAUUCUCCGAAUUUGAUUUCGGUCCCCGUAUUUAUAAUGGGAGGGGAGGAGUUAGUUAAGAAUUCAAAAUUCGAAAUUCGAAUUUGAAUUUUAAAUAGGUUGUUGUGGUUGGUUGAAAGAUAUUUUGGAUUUUGUUGGGAAUUCGAAAUUCGAAAUCAAAUUUUGNAGAG